AAUUCGAUUGAGUUUGAUCAUGGCUCAGGACGAACGCUGGCGGCGUGCUUAACACAUGCAAGUCGAGCGGUAAGGCUCCUUCGGGAGUACACGAGCGGCGAACGGGUGAGUAACACGUGAGCAAUCUGCCCUUCACUUCGGGAUAACUUCGGGAAACCGAAGCUAAUACCGAAUACGACCACCGAUGGCAUCUUCUGGUGGUGGAAAGUUCCGGCGGUGAAGGAUGAGCUCGCGGCCUAUCAGCUUGUUGGUGGGGUAAUGGCCUACCAAGGCGACGACGGGUAGCCGGCCUGAGAGGGUGACCGGCCACACUGGGACUGAGACACGGCCCAGACUCCUACGGGAGGCAGCAGUGGGGAAUAUUGGACAAUGGGCGAAAGCCUGAUCCAGCAACGCCGCGUGAGGGAUGACGGCCUUCGGGUUGUAAACCUCUUUCAGCAGGGACGAAGCGAGAGUGACGGUACCUGCAGAAGAAGCACCGGCCAACUACGUGCCAGCAGCCGCGGUAAUACGUAGGGUGCAAGCGUUGUCCGGAAUUAUUGGGCGUAAAGGGCUCGUAGGCGGUCCAUCACGUCGGGAGUGAAAAGCUGGGGCUUAACCCCAGUCCUGCUUCCGAUACGGGUGGACUAGAGGUAGGUAGGGGAGAACGGAAUUCCUGGUGUAGCGGUGAAAUGCGCAGAUAUCAGGAGGAACACCGGUGGCGAAGGCGGUUCUCUGGGCCUUACCUGACGCUGAGGAGCGAAAGCGUGGGGAGCAAACAGGA
Molecule: ribosomal RNA, 763 nt
Filed under: uncultured bacterium
Lineage: Bacteria
Description: bacterial SSU rRNA
Rfam family: Bacterial small subunit ribosomal RNA
Source: RNAcentral